CACGUAGGGCGCAAGCGUUGUCCGGAAUUAUUGGGCGUAAAGAGCUCGUAGGCGGUCUGUUGCGUCCGCUGUGAAAACUCGGGGCUUAACCCCGAGCCUGCAGUGGAUACGGGCAGACUAGAGGUAGGUAGGGGAGAAUGGAAUUCCCGGUGUAGCGGUGAAAUGCGCAGAUAUCGGGAGGAACACCGGUGGCGAAGGCGGUUCUCUGGGCCUUACCUGACGCUGAGGAGCGAAGCGUGGGGAGCGAAACAGG
This 253-nucleotide ribosomal RNA is filed under the name uncultured bacterium. Its description in RNAcentral is "partial 16S ribosomal RNA". It matches the Rfam family "Bacterial small subunit ribosomal RNA", at positions 524 to 776 of the family's 1533-position model. The record is from RNAcentral.